GGGGUCGAUGCCGAAGAAGCCGAGGCACCUGCCUGUCGAGCAGGCCCAAGCCGGUGCGAGUCCGGUCGAUCCCGCCA
RNAcentral lists this transfer RNA (77 nucleotides) under Gemmatimonadales bacterium. RNAcentral's name for it is "tRNA-Asp". The record is from RNAcentral. Lineage: Bacteria; Pseudomonadati; Gemmatimonadota; Gemmatimonadia; Gemmatimonadales.